CCCGGUAGAAAUUCAACCUAAAAUAAAUUUAACAUAUAGAUUAAAUUUCAGACAUGUAACAUUUCAAUUAAUAAUAUAACUAAAUUAGUAACAUAAUUAAAACAGUACAUAUUUACUAUUUAUUAAGUUUAAAAACAGUACAUAUAAACUAAAUAAACUAAAUUAACACUUACAGUACAUUUAAACACCAAAAAAAAUACGAAAACAG
RNAcentral lists this long non-coding RNA (208 nucleotides) under Zostera marina. RNAcentral describes it as "long non-coding RNA (ZMAR_LNC005796)". The record is from RNAcentral. Lineage: Eukaryota; Viridiplantae; Streptophyta; Magnoliopsida; Alismatales; Zosteraceae.